UUGUUCUUCAGACAUUGUACUAGAUUUGAUAAUUAAGAAAGUAAACAGAAAUUCUUGUCUCUUGUGGGUGCUAUUAAACGUAACCUUAAAACAUGGAUGAUAUUGGCCUGGAUUGGCAAAAGUUGAAACAUAAUUCAGAAAAGAUUGGUCUUAGAGAUGGUAUAGAAGAAGGAAGAUCAUCAAAUUUUCAAAAAAGUUUUGAUGAGGGCUAUAAAAUGGAUUUAAAAAUGGGUUUGAGCUAGGAAAACUCAAAGGACAAUUGGAAUCACCACCUGAACUAGAAAACACAAAAAGGGGUAAUUGUAUUUUGUGUAAAGAUGAAUCUAUAAUCAAAAAAUCAAACCAAGAGAAAGAAAUUCUUCAAUGGAGGGCAACAGAAAGUCUAAUAGCAUCAAUAUCACCAGAAAACUAAAAUUUUUCUUAAAAUAACUGUGAAUAAAUGUAUAGUUAUGUUAA
Long non-coding RNA from Dalotia coriaria, 456 nucleotides. RefSeq lists it as uncharacterized. The record is from RefSeq and is a predicted model, not a curated record. NCBI's taxonomy places the organism in Eukaryota, Metazoa, Arthropoda, Insecta, Coleoptera, Staphylinidae. The transcript is spliced from 2 exons.